Molecule: ribosomal RNA, 141 nt
Filed under: Triticum aestivum (bread wheat)
Lineage: Eukaryota; Viridiplantae; Streptophyta; Magnoliopsida; Poales; Poaceae
Description: partial small subunit ribosomal RNA
Source: RNAcentral
AUGCCGGUGUGCCUGCACGUGUUCCACACCGAGUGCAUCGACCGGUGGCUGCGCUCGCACGCGACGUGCCCGAUUUGCCGGUGCAGCGUGUUCACCCCGCCGGAACGCCCACCGGAAGUAGUGUUGAACGUGGAGUUGUGA